GAUCCAGAUUCAACGGCAAACAAGUAUUUUUACUCACCUCUCUCCCGGUCUAGGUCGUGGUUGCACUUAUUAACUGAAUCCCUAGAGUCAUUUUCAUUUUUCAAUGCCAAAGUCGUUUUUGAUUCGUAUUAAAUUUUUUCUCCACCUUUCUAAAUUGAUUAUUCCUAAUUUCCUUUUCUCAAUUCAGUAAUGGCCCUGAAUCUCAAACCCAUAUGUAGAUUUCUCUCAAACCCCAUGAAAUGAUUAAUCCUCUCAUCUGUCUGUCAUUGAUUUAUUUGGGCGUUUGAUUAAAACGCUCAUCUUUCCCUUUAAUGGAUUCCCAAUAUAUAAUGUCUCAGCUGAAUGGAAAACCAUUUCGGUUCCACCACUCGCAUAAUUAAGUAGGUGUUCUCUUCUUCCUCUCUUCAGCAUUUGCUCCCUACCGGAUACUGCAUGUGAUCACUUACGGUUCUUUUUCGUCUAUAUGUGAUUGGUUAAUAUAUUUGGUUUAUCUUCUUCCCUCGCCAUUUUCCUUAGCUCUAAAGGUAAGUUACAUUGUACUACUGCAGUGGGUUUGAGACCCAAUAUCUAAAAAUAUCCAAAAAUUUGUACAAUAAAAUUGUAUUUGUUAUAUUCGACAAAAUGUGCCAAACAAAUUCAGUUUCACUGAGUUUGAAGACCUUGAAUCAAAGAUUCACAACAAAUGUAUAUUACAGGUCAGUUUUUUUACAUAUAUGUUUCUUACAGUGUUAUUCACCACAACUAUUUGUUCACCUUAUUAACUUUGUGAAUUUAGAUUCGGCUAGCUUUGUAAAAACCAUCAUGAAUAUCGAGGCCCGGUGGUGGUCAGCCUUGCCGAAUGCAGGAAUUCAUAAUUGAGAACCUCAUGUAUACAUUAUUUGUCCUUAAUAUCUUUGUGCUCGAUCUGAUUCUCUAAUGCACAUACACAAAAUGUUAUUUCCUGUGUUAUGGUCCACUUUGAAGAUUAACCUUUGGGUUCUGCUGCUAAUCAGAUCUAAUGACCCAGUAGAUGCUGAAUCCAACCCAGGGCCAGUAUUGAUAGCCGCAUGCUCCACUUUUGUGAAGAAUUAUCAAGGGGAUUGCACCGUAUCUGCCACAUAUACCACCAAGUACGCUGACAUCUACAUUCCAGAACAGUACCAUGUUCAACACAUUAGGACGCAUAAAAGGUUUUGUAGAAAAAUGGUAUGUCAUGUACUGCCCAUAUUGCCGCACAUAAUUCCCAGAACUUGGCAUUAUAAACUCAUGGUGUUUCACAUGUCAAGAAUCGUUCCAACCCACGCCAAGGAUGAAACUUAUAAUGGAAGUGGAAGACUCAACUGGAACUGCUACGUUUGUGGCCAUGGGGAAGGCAGCAGAGGAUUUACUCCAAUGUAGUGUCUCUACACUGAUGGAGGUUAACAGGGUUUGUACUACUACUAGCAUGUUUCUAAUGACACCCCCAUCCACAUUAUUAUAAAGUCUUUGCAAUAUUUAAUAUUUUAAAAUUCGAUCUAUUGUAUAGCCGUGUUCUUACAUUCUUAAUCGGGAUCAGGUUGCAAGUUUUGUUGUCCAUUCAAAAUGCAAAGAGGAAACAUUUUGUAUUUUCUGUUCAUGGAAAUGAUCUCAACUCAUAUUAGAACAAAUCGCUGCUAUAGUUUUUGGUGCUAUAGGUUCAUGUUCUGUAUUAUUUGCUUUUCUUUUAGAAAAAAUAUGAUAGUUAAGAGUUGUAUUUGUGUCUAAUGAUAGUAGCCAAAUAGUCAUGGAAGUGAAGAAUAUGGAUACAAGAGAAGCAAUAGUAAAGGAAACAGCUUCCUACUGAAAUUCAGGUAUUGGAGUUGGAUCUUAGUACAAUUGCAAGUGAGAUCUACGCAUAAGUCAAUUUGUUUGGAUCUUUUGCUGAAACAUAUUUAUUUACUGCAUUAUCUUACAAGGUCCCUACAAACAAAAUGGAGCGUACAUUUGCAACCAAUCAUCUAAGUAUGUCAAUAUCUAAGUUGAGUCCCAUAUGAUCUGAAAUAUUAUUGUGGCAAAGAGUAGCUUUACUGAAUGGAACGAAAAACUUGGAUCAAAGAUAGCAUGUGUUACUGUCAAUGAUAGCAUAUGUUACUGGAACGCGUGGAUUUCAUGUACGUAAUCUUGGCAGUGAAGAAUAGGAUAGCUGGUACAGUUGUAAAAGAAGCAAUUGUAAACAAAAAACUUCUGCUAAAAGUAAGGGAUUGGAGUUGGAUCUUAGCUCCAUGGCACCAUUGCACUGAUAAGAAAGUUCGUCACAUAAUUUAAGUCUUCUCAUCUUUUAAACAUCCUUAUGUGAGUAUCUAAAAUUUGAGAAGUUUAUUUCAUUGUUCUGUAUUUCCACUUUAUAGUGGAGCUAUUCUUGGGAUAAGUUGGUUACCUAUUUUACCUA
Long non-coding RNA from Papaver somniferum (opium poppy), 2386 nucleotides. RefSeq lists it as uncharacterized. The transcript has 4 exons. NCBI's taxonomy places the organism in Eukaryota, Viridiplantae, Streptophyta, Magnoliopsida, Ranunculales, Papaveraceae. The record is from RefSeq and is a predicted model, not a curated record.